CCUCUGUAGCUCAGUUGGUUAGAGCGCUGCACCGGAAUCGCUGGGCCGUAUAUAGGUUCAAUUCCUACCAUGCAGAGGA
Paramuricea clavata is the source of this 79-nucleotide non-coding RNA. The record is from the annotation of a GenBank genome assembly. Lineage: Eukaryota; Metazoa; Cnidaria; Anthozoa; Malacalcyonacea; Plexauridae.